AUUAUAUGUAAUAACUUUUCAACAUAUGUUUUCCAAUAGUAUAUGAUCCCAAAUGAUCUCUUAAUUCUUUUUUUUAAUUUUUAAAAAAAUUUAAACCCUUACCUUCUGUCUUGGAGUCAAUAUUGUGUAUUGGUUCCAAGGCAGAAGAGUGGUAAGGACUAGGCAAUGGUGGUUAAGUGACUUUCCUAGGGUCAUACAGCUAGGAAGUAUCUGAGGUCAGAUUUGAACCUAGGACCUCCCGUCUCUAGGCCUGGCUGUCAAUUCACUGAGCUAUCCAGCUGCCCCCUGAUCUCUUAAUUCUUAACCAAGCCUUCUCUGUUCUAACCGCUCUACUUUUUCCCAUUUUGACUCCUUGGUGAAACAAUUUAACUACUCACUGUCCUUCUCUAUUGAAUGCCUCAUUUCCUUAUUAUAUUGCUGAUUAUGCACAGUCAAGCCAGAGCCUUCCAUCAUCCCCAUCAUUCACUUCUACACAUGUGCUGCUGAAUGAAGAUAGAAAAAUAUUAUGCAAGCAUUCUGACUGAGUUCUCUACAAAUUUAUGUUGUACAGCCUCAACUGGAGCCUCACAGCUGCAUUUUCCUUCAUUAGAAUGUAAGUUUCUCAACUUUCUGGAAUGGAGGCAAGAUGGAGGAGUAACUAGAGCAGCAGUUUCAUAUCACCAUGAGAAUCCUCACUGACCAAGACUAAAAUAUCACCACAAAAUGAAUACAGGAAUGAAAAAAGCCAACAAGGAGACAGAGUGAAACAACUUUCAAGAAAAGAAAAACCUAAAAGGUAGGCAUACAACAUCUAGGGCACUAGCUUGAGAGGAAAGCUUAGCCAGCAAAAGGCUAUAACAAAGAGUGAAGAGCAAGCCAAGAGCAAAACCACACACACCCACACACUCCCCACAUCUGCUGUCACAGGUUCCAAACUUAAGCCCAAAGUAAAAUUCAAACUUGAGAAAAGACGUGUACAACAAUAUCCAUAGCUGCGCUCUUUGUGGUAUAAAAAAAAUUGGAAAAUGAGGGGGAUGCCCUUCAAUUGGGGAAAUGGCUGAACAAAUUGUGGGUAUCUCUUGAUGAUGGAAUACUACUGUGCUAAAAAGAAAUANAUAGAAUACUGAACUGGAAGAAUUCCAUGUGAACUAGAAGGACCUCCAGGAAUUGAUGCAGAGUGAAAGGAGCAGAACCAGGAGAACAUUAUAUACCCAGAGACUGAGACACUGUGGUACAAUUGAAUAUAAUGGACUUCUCUACUAGCAACAAUGCAAUGAUCCAGGACAAUACUGAGGGACUUAUGAGAAACAAUGCUAUCAACAUUCAGAGAAAGAACUGUGGGAGUAGAAACACAAAAGAAAGACAUUUCCUUGAUCACAUGAUUCAAUGAGGAUAUGAUUGGGGAUGUAGACUCUAAAUAAACACUCUAUUGCAAAUAUUCA
This 1421-nucleotide long non-coding RNA is filed under the name Monodelphis domestica (gray short-tailed opossum). RNAcentral describes it as "lncRNA (ENSMODG00000038127.1)". Lineage: Eukaryota; Metazoa; Chordata; Mammalia; Didelphimorphia; Didelphidae. The record is from RNAcentral.